Molecule: long non-coding RNA, 626 nt
Organism: Cryptomeria japonica (Japanese cedar)
Lineage: Eukaryota; Viridiplantae; Streptophyta; Pinopsida; Cupressales; Cupressaceae
Exons: 5
Source: RefSeq, a predicted model, not a curated record
GUGUUGACAGGGGACCAAAUGUCCCAGAUUGAUGACAUCACGCUCCCAGCGAUCGAUUUUGGUCUACAAGGCUAUACGGGUACCCCCUCUGCGUCUAGGCCUCGUCCUAAGAAAAAGAAUUCCUCGAAGACGCCAAAACGUGAGAAGAAAGUAAUUGAACACAUUUUUAGUUGUACAAUUGUUUGAAAAUGUUGAAAUCAAGUCAUAGUUGGGGUUUGUAGAUUGAUUAGUGUUAUUUGUCUAUUUUAUAUGUACAACGACCAUUGAGCUAUGUGGAUUUGUUGAAUGCACCUAAUUCGCUCGUGGAUAAAGAGAGGGCAGAUGUAAUAGCGAUAGUUUUUCCAUCGAUGGUGAGCCAUCCUCAGUCCAUUGGAGAAGCAUCUCAGGCAUUAACCCCUUCGCAGUUCAGCCAUAACGUGGAUCCUUUUAAGUUUGUCUUCAAUAAAACUUCUAAGAGUGACAAGGAGAGGAGAGCAAAGACAUUAACUCCGAGAUCAACCGAUGAGAGCCGCAUACUGCAUCGAAGAGGCUCGAUUUUGAUGAUCCACCACAAGUUUAAGAUCAUAUAGUGUUAGUUGUGGUCAUAGAACAUGUAGAUAUAUUCUACAUUUUUAUUGUAUAUCGAU